Molecule: RNA transcript, 4652 nt
Organism: Abrus precatorius (Indian licorice)
Lineage: Eukaryota; Viridiplantae; Streptophyta; Magnoliopsida; Fabales; Fabaceae
Gene name: AT-rich interactive domain-containing protein 1A-like
Exons: 6
Source: RefSeq, a predicted model, not a curated record
UCGAAUCCGGAACCGUUAGGAAUAAUUCAGGUUUUAUGCUCGGCUCUGAGCCGAAGCCGCGCAUUUAUAGGUCAGCAUGGGAUUUGAUAAUGAGUGCAUAGUUAACAUUCAAUCUCUUGCUGGAGAGUACUUUUGUCCUGUCUGUCGCCUGCUCGUAUUUCCAAAUGAAGCUUUGCAGUCGCAAUGUACCCACUUGUACUGUAAGCCGUGUUUGACAUAUGUUGUGAGCACUACAAGGGCUUGCCCAUAUGAUGGUUACUUGGUCACUGAGGCAGAUUCCAAGCCUCUGAUUGAGUCGAAUAAGGCACUUGCCGAAACUAUUGGAAAAAUACCAGUUCAUUGCCUUUAUCAUAGGAGCGGAUGCACAUGGCAAGGAACUCUGUCUGAGUGUACAUCUCAUUGUUCUGGCUGCGCUUAUGGCAAUUCUCCUGUUGUUUGCAACAGGUGUGGGAUCCAAAUAGUGCAUCGCCAAGUGCAAGAACAUGCACAAAAUUGCCCUGGUGUGCAAGGCCAGGUACAACAAGUGGCCAUUACCCAGGAUCCUUCAGCCACUAGUGCUGUUGCUUCUACAGAUCAGACCCAGGCUGCUGCUCCUGUUGGAACAACUGCUUCACAAGCUCUUCCUUCUCAAACUGCUGUCACAACUACUGCACCUGCACAUGCUUCAAAUCAGCUUACCAAUCCAGCUUCUCAAUCCCAAGCCGUAGUUCAAACAGUUGUGCAGCCAACAGCCGAGCAAUGGUAUCAGCAACAACAAUAUCAACAAUACUACCAGCAAUACCCUGGACAAGAUCCAUACCAACAACAGUAUCAAAAUUACUACCCCUAUCAACAAUCUGCUGUUCCACAAUACCAGCAGGCCUAUGGUCAGCCGCAACAUCAGUCUCAAUCACAGCCCCAGGCUCAACUUCAACCUCAGCCCCUGGCCCAACUUCAACCUCAGCCCCAGCCACAGGCCCAAAACCAAUCUCAGCCUCAACAACCACAACCUCAGGUACAUGGACUGUCUCAACCACUUUCACAUGUUCAGGCUCCUGUAGCCCCACCAUCUCAGAAUCAGGUUCAAGUUCACCAACAACCGCAGCAAUUUCAACCUUUUGUUCAGCCACAUGGUCAGACGAGUCAUCCACCAGUCCCCAGUCAAUCCCUACCUCAGCCUCAGCCUCAGCCUUAUCCUUACCCCCAAGUUCAGCCUCAUUCUGUCCAACCUCAACCCCAACAACAUAUGCAAAUGCCUCCUUAUCAGCAGCCUCUUCCUCAGAUGCAACAUUCACAGCCUCAAAUUCAACAACCUGUUCAGAAGUAUCCUGUUCCUCAAUCUCAAGUUCAUCCGCAACUGCAUCCUCACCAGCCUCCCAUGCAUCCUCACCAGCCUGUUGCUCCUAAUGUCCAACCUCAAGUGCAAAAUGCAACGUCACAUGCAGUUACAGGUCAUCAGUCUUAUCCCCAACCUCUUCCUCACCAUAAUACGCAACCAGGUGUCCCUCAACAUGCUAUGCACAUGCAUCCUCAAGCUGGGCCCCAACCCCAGGGCCAGCAUCCUGUCCAAACACAGAGUCAGUUUCCUCCCCAAAUUCCAAUGAUGCGUCCUAAUCAAUCUCAUGCUAUGUUUCCUAAUCAGCAACAGCCAGCUUUGGUGCCUUCACCUGUUCGGGGCCAAACUACCCCUCCUAUGCAACAUCAGCCAGUAUAUACUCAUAAUCAACAACCUGGCCAAAUCAACCAACGUCCUUUUUUGCAACCCAUUCAACAAAUACCUCCACAGCCCUUUUCACAACACCAAGCACCUAUGCCAUCUCAUUUACGACCCCAGGGUUCAGCUAAUUCAUUUCCCAAGCAUGCUUAUCCGCAGUCACAGGGUAAUACUGCACUAUCAAAUAGCAGUCAUCUCAGUCAAUCUCAAAAUGCUGUGGGAAGGCCUUUACUUCCUAAUCAUGCAGGACACAUACAGCCAUAUGCACAAUCUGCUAAUACAAUUCCAGUUAGACAUGGGCAAAAUGGUGCUGGCUUCCUGCCUGAAAAUCAGAAUUUGUUGAUUGGGGCCAACAAUCAAGUACAGUUGCCUUCUGAACUGCAGUCUAGACCAUCAGAACCAAUUGAAAGACACAACGUGAAUGAGCAGAAAACUGACUCUUCCUCUGGGAAACAUAGUAAGAACUUUAAAGAUUUGGACACAGUGUCUGGAUCAGCAAGUGAAUUGAAAUCUGAUAAAGUUGAAACAGAUUUUAAACCAAUUGAGGUUGGGAAUAAGCAACAUAGUGAAGAUCCACACUCUGUGAAGACUUUACUCCCAAGUGCCAAUGCAUUAGAAAAUGGUGAUUCAGUAAAUAAGAAUCAUGGUAUAGGAGAGGCUACUGAAAGCAAUUGGAAGCCUUCAAGUGGUAAUAAGUCAGGUGGUGUGGUGACUGGGGUUCAAAAUGGUAAUGAUGAACACUCUGUCCGAGGCAAUGAAUUUCAAGAUGGACCUCUACCAAAGACAGAAGCAAAAGUCCCUGAGUCCGAAAUUGAUAAAUUGCAUAAAGAUGAUACAUGUACUCCAAGACCUCAUCCUGGUGCUGGCACUCCAACACCAUCUGUCUCUCAAAGCAAUGAGGGUUUUGCACAGCUGUCUCAUCAUGCCACUUAUACUGAUCAGACUAAGCAUCAACAACCAAUGAUUAAUUUUGGGCCUGCUUCUGUCCAGAAGAGACAAUUGCCACAUUCAGCAGUUCCAAAUCAGCCCCUCUCUGAAGGGAACUCUUCAACCCUUGUUAGGAAUCAUGGACCUGCCCAUGCUUUUCAUUCGGGACAACCCUUAACAGAGAAUUUUCAGCCAACCAUGUUUAAGCAGCUGCAAGAUUCUGACAUCCAGUUCAAUACACCAGGGCGAAGCUUUCAACCUCAGUCACAUGGACCCUCAGGGCCAUAUAACCAAGUCCAUGAGCCUCCUUUCCAUUCUGGAGCAUCCAAUUUGUCUCAUAUAGGAGGGCCUCAAUUUGGUGCUCCACUUCCUGGAGAUAUGCAUGGUAGAGUGACAGCCAACUUACCACCUCAUGCUCCUGAAGGUUUUGGUUUGCAGGAUGAAAGGUUCAAACCUUUCCAUGCUCCAAAUCAACAAAACAUUGAUCGAAGAGAGUUUGAGGAUGAUCUUAAGAAAUUCCCUAGACUGCCUUUGGAUGCUGAGCCAGUUUCUAAAUUUGGAAAUUAUUCAUUAGGUCCACAUGAAGCUGGAAAGAGACCCGUUGGUUAUCAUGAUGAUGUCAUUAAGAAAUCAGGUCCUACUCUCCAUCCUGGUUAUCUUGGACCAGAUCCUGGAUAUGGGAGACAUCAUAUGGAUGGUAUGGCUCCAAGAAGUCCUGUUAAUGAAUAUUCUGAAAUGUCUUCCCGGAGAUUGGGCCCCCACUCUGGUGGUCUUGUUGGUAAGUCAGGAAUAGAUGAUUUUGAUGGCAGAGUUGCACGUCGUUUUGGUGAGUUUCGUGAUAGCCGGUUUCCUCAUUUGCCUAGCCAUUUGCAUAGAGAUGAAUUUGAUGGUUUUGGUAGCUUUCGAAUGGGUGAACAUCCAAGGAGUGGUGAUUUCAUUGGUCAUGGCGAAUUUGGUGGCCAUUUUCGUAGGGGUGAACAUUUGGGUCCACAUAAUUUUUCUAGACAUUUGCAGCUUGGGGAGGCUGUUGGUUUUGGUGCCCAUCCAGGUCAUAUGAGAGCAGUUGAACUUGGCAGUUCUCGGACUUAUGAAUCUUUCAGCAAAGGCAACAGGCCAGGUCAUCCACAACUUGGUGAGCCUGGGUUCAGGAGCAGCUUUUCGCUCUCAGGAUUUCCCAAUGAUGCUGGGUUUUUAACAGUUAAGUUUUGAUUACCCUAAUAUUCAUCUUUGUACUUGCUAUUCUUAUCAUAUGGGCAGUAGUUGAAAAAUUUUUGAAGUUGAGUUGGUGGAAUGUGGAAGUUUUGGGGGGAAUAUAGUGUUUUUUCCCCCUUGUAAAUUGACUACAAUAUCCAAGUAAUAUUUGAUUUUAAAUAUUUCUUUUGUGUAUGUUACUUUUGUGUUUUUUCAGGGAGAUAUCAGGUCAUUUGAUAAUUUGAGGAGAAGGAAAGCAUCUAGCAUGGGAUGGUGCCGGAUAUGUAAACUUGACUGUGGUACAGUUGAAGGUUUGGACUUGCAUUCUCAAACAAGAGAGCACCAGAAGAUGGCCAUGGAUAUAGUUAAAACAAUCAAACAAAAUGCAAAGAAACAGAAAUUCUAGUGAACAACACUCAGUUGAUGAGGGAAACAAGACAUGGAAUACUGGUUUUGAGGGUCGUGGGAGUAAGCAUUGACUGGUUGCAGUUUGCUGUAAUCUGGUUGCUGCCUUCAUGUUAGUGGAGAUGUUUUUUGGAAGUGAAGUACUGUGGCAGUUAAGUUUAAUGGCUUUUGAAUUUGAAAUCCAUAAUUCAUAACUGGAGUAGUUGUCUCAACCUUGGUGCUUUGCUGGCAGUUUCUAUCGUUUCAUUUUGCAUAUGUUGUUUACAUGCUAUUGAUGAUAAGUACAAUUUCUAUGGAUAACAAUCUUUUCACCAUAGUUAUCGAUCCUGGACAGUGGCAGAUAGUGGCUGACCCUAAAAACAAAUUAUUGUGGGAUAGUGUAUAGUGGGAUGACUGCUAUUUUGGAACUUUUUAUACAGACAUAUAAUCUAGAUUA